AGUGAACGCUGGCGGUAGGCCUAACACAUGCAAGUCGAACGGCAGCACAGUAAGAGCUUGCUCUUACGGGUGGCGAGUGGCGGACGGGUGAGGAAUACAUCGGAAUCUACUUUUUCGUGGGGGAUAACGUAGGGAAACUUACGCUAAUACCGCAUACGAUCUACGGGUGAAAGCAGGGGAUCUUCGGACCUUGCGCGAUUGAAUGAGCCGCUGUCGGAUUAGCUAGUUGGCGGGGUAAAGGCCCACCAAGGCGGCGAUCCGUAGCCGGUCUGAGAGGAUGGUCAGCCACCAGAGAACUUAGACACGGUCCAUGCGCCUACGGGAGGGAGCAGUGGGGAAUAUUAGACAAUGGGGGCAAACCUUGUCCAGCCAUACCGAAUGGGUUAAGAAGGCCUUCGGGGUGGAAAGCCCUUUUGUUGGGAAAGAAAAGCAGCAGGUUAAUACCCCGCUGUUCUGACGGUACCCAAAGAAUAAGCACCGGCUAACUUCGUG
RNAcentral lists this ribosomal RNA (492 nucleotides) under uncultured bacterium. RNAcentral describes it as "partial 16S ribosomal RNA". It matches the Rfam family "Bacterial small subunit ribosomal RNA", at positions 29 to 507 of the family's 1533-position model. The record is from RNAcentral.